AAUUUUGGACAAUGGAGGAAACUCUGAUGCAGCGACGCCGCGUGAGUGAAGAAGGUCUUCGGAUCGUAAAACUCUGUCCUUGGUGACGAAAAAAAUGACGGUAGCCAAGGAGGAAGCCCCGGCUAACUACGUGCCAGCAGCCGCGGUAAUACGUAGGGGGCGAGCGUUGUCCGGAUUUACUGGGCGUAAAGGGUGAGUAGGCGGUUAUACGUGUCAGAUGUAAAAGGCUAAGGCUUAACCAUAGUUAGCAUUUGAAACUGUAUGACUUGAGUGCAGGAGAGGUAAGUGGAAUUCCUAGUGUAGCGGUGAAAUGCGUAGAUAUUAGGAGGAACACCAGUGGCGAAGGCGACUUACUGGACUGUAACUGACGCUGAGUCACGAAAGCGUGGGUAGCAAACAGG
Molecule: ribosomal RNA, 401 nt
Filed under: uncultured bacterium
Lineage: Bacteria
Description: partial 16S ribosomal RNA
Rfam family: Bacterial small subunit ribosomal RNA
Source: RNAcentral